This is a non-coding RNA of Engraulis encrasicolus (European anchovy), 357 nucleotides long. Lineage: Eukaryota; Metazoa; Chordata; Actinopteri; Clupeiformes; Engraulidae. The record is from the annotation of a RefSeq genome assembly.
AUGUGGGACUUUCUGAUCUUUAUUUUGUCAGGGGUAGACUGUGUUGAGUACAGCCAGCCCAGCUCUGUAACCAUCAGGCCAGGAGAGUCUUUGAGUGUCACCUGCAAAGUAACUGGAGGCUCCAUUACUGACAGUAGCAAAAACUGGUGCAUCUCCUGGAUACGACAGCCAUCAGCAGGGAAAGGCCUGGAGUGGAUCAAUCGCAUCUGUUUUAAUGCAGAUAUGUACUAUAAAGAUUCACUGAAGAGCAAGUUCAGUGUCUCCAGAGACACCUCCAGUAACACCAUCAUCCUGCAAGGACAAAACAUGCAGCCUGAAGACACAGCUGUCUAUUACUGCGCUUGCUACUCACAGUGA